GGGAUGUUAGUCCCAAGGGCUAAGGAAAUGUUCUUUUCAUGCCCUGCAGAGAGACAGCCAUGCUCAACUCAUGGCUUUGGGCAUAGAAGUCAUGUCAUGCUGUAGCUGAGGGUCUGGACUCUGGAACCAAAUUGCCCGGAUUCGAGUCGUGCCUCUGCUUCUUGCUAUCUGGAUGACCUCAGCUGACAAAGGAUUUGUGCUCCGUGAAACACUGAAUAAUAUCAAUGAGACUAUUCAGAGAUUGGGCUCUGCAGUUUCUGUGCAUCAACACCCUGCGUACUCCCCCUUUUUAAUAAAUGGAUAAAUACUACAUUUGACGAUGGUGACAUUAUCCAUGUCCUCCACGGCGGCUACUUUGUUGGCUACAUUCGGGAAGUCUGAAAGGCUGUGGAGAAUGUUAACAGGGUUCAAAUACGGGCCUUUCGCGGCAGGCUCUUCGUUAGAAUGUGGCGCUGGGAGAACCUUCUGAAGCUGGCCCAAGCCCUCAGGGAUGGACUAGCGAUGGAAGGCCUCGAUAGCGUGGAUAAGGAAAGAGGGGCCCCAGUGUCAGGCUUUCAUCUGCCAGCCGGAGUAGUCCAAGCUGUCACCCCAUGGACUCCAAAUGGAGAUUAUGGACAAAGGAGGAACGACACUGGACGCCAAUGGUUUCUCUCUGGAACAGAAGGGAGGUUAACCCCCAGCAGGGCUGGCCAGCAAGGCCAGGGAGGCCGCCAAGCUGUGACACACCUGGAGAACACAGCAGCCACAGACCAUGGCUCAGAAGCAAAAGCAUCCGAGAGCUGGAGCCCCCAGAGGGGAGAACCAUCCCCAGAGCCAAGCUGGGGACACCCACCAAGGACAAACCAACUCAAGUCAUGUGCUCCCAGUGUGGGGACGGGCUGCUCCGCUGCGGGUCUUCCGACUUCUGGCCAGACAACGCUCUGGUCUCUUUUCCACCAACACACAGCACCAUCUUGAAUCACAAUGGUGAAAGAACUGAAACUCUGUAGCCAUCAAACAACAACUCCGCAUUCCCUGCUCCCCACCCCUGACACCCUGCUCCUUUCUGCCUCUAUGGGUGUGACUACUCCAGGUACCUCAUGUCAGAGGAAUCAGACAGUACCCGCGGAUGCCUUGACUUAGCACAUUUUCUUUUUCUCCUCAGAGGUCAUCAUUGUGGCUUUGUGGCUUAACUUUGCAAAUACAUGUUCCAGAGUCCUGUCGUCUGCUCUCCCAGGACUUUUGCAGCAAAGCCAUGCUGUCCCCAGGCUGGGGCCCCGUGAUGGCCUCCCAGAACUGCCAGUGGCAUCUCCAAGGAGGAAAAGAGCCAAGGUGAACGUAAGACGCUUCACUCUGAAGACUACAAAGACCCAAUGAAGACCACGCUAACUUGGAUACUGGAAAAGGAUUUUAAAAGACAGCUAAAUUAAGGUUUUCCCUGAGCUUUUUCCAUCUCAAGCACUUAAGUUACUCUGUCUCUGAGAUCACAGUGGGAUGAUCAAUUGAAUUUUUAAAAGUCAGAGAGCUUUUGUGUCCAGAAAGAAAGACUUUCUGUAGCAGGGCUUAAAAUUGGUAUUCAAUUUAUUGAAGCCACAAAUUAAGAAUCUUAGUUUUUAUAGAUGUUUAAAUUCAGCUUGCUAAUUUGUUUCUUUUACUCUUGGAAAUAUAGCAAUUGUCCAAAAAUAAGAAGAGCCAUUUUUACAUUCCUUGAUUCACGUUUAAAUUAACUCAUAAAUUAACUCAUAAAUUAAAGGAUUAAAUUAUUUUCUCUUAAAUAACUAACAAAAUUUUCUCGAACAUUUCAUACUACAGUUAAGUACGUAAUACCUCUAUACUUAAUACGUCUUGUCAAAUGGCUAAGUAAAUUUAACAAAUUUAAUAAGCACAUUCUUUCCUAACACUUAAUCAACUAUUGUGACUCUCAUAAAUUUUAAAAUAGAGUAAAGCCAAUAAUUCUAAUCUCACAUAUCUUAAAGUCAGAUCAAGCAUACUCAAAGUAGCAUAGUAAUGACAAAAUCUAUUACAUUCAAUGAUCCCUACAAAUGCAUACCUGACAUAACAAUGUCAAUAUUACAUUAAUCUUUUUAUCCUGGAUUUACAAACUUAUCCAGUGAAGACGAGCAUUAGCGCCUCUGGCUGGCUGCAGCAACCAGGGUGGAGCCCAUUUAUAAAUCUUGCCAUUGGACGAGCCCGGACGAAAUUGCAGAGCCACAGGCCAACAAGAGGAGCCCUGGUUUAACCUUAGCCUCCGAGUGCUUGCCCAAUCACUUCCUGAAAUACUUGCAUAAUAUUUUUCUGCACACCCACAUGCCCCUCCAAAUCCUUGCCCCAUCCAGAUUGCAACUUUUUUUUUUUUACCCAACAAUAUAUCUUGCAGAUUGUUCAGCUCAGUUUAUUUUUUUUAAACUUUAUUGGAUCCAUUUUAUUUUAUUUAUUUAUUUAUUUUUGAGGAAGACUGGCCCUGAGCUAACAUCUGUGCCCAUCUUCCUCUACUUUAUAUGUGGGACGUCUGCCACAGCAUGGCUUGCCAAGCGGUGCCAUGUCUGCACCCGGGAUCCGAACCGGCGAACCCCGGGCCGCCGAAGUCGAAUGUGCAAACUUA
Equus asinus (donkey) is the source of this 2581-nucleotide long non-coding RNA. The record is from Ensembl. Lineage: Eukaryota; Metazoa; Chordata; Mammalia; Perissodactyla; Equidae.